CUCGCUUGCCCUUUGCCGCCC
Molecule: microRNA, 21 nt
Filed under: Monodelphis domestica (gray short-tailed opossum)
Lineage: Eukaryota; Metazoa; Chordata; Mammalia; Didelphimorphia; Didelphidae
Description: mdo-miR-7345b-3p
Source: miRBase by way of RNAcentral